GACGAACGCUGGCGGCGUGCCUAAUACAUGCAAGUCGAGCGAAGUUUUUCUGGUGCUUGCACUAGAAAAACUUAGCGGCGAACGGGUGAGUAACACGUAAAGAACCUGCCUCAUAGACUGGGACAACUAUUGGAAACGAUAGCUAAUACCGGAUAACAGUAUUUCUCGCAUGAGAGAUAUUUAAAAGUUGGUUAUGCUAACACUAUGAGAUGGCUUUGCGGUGCAUUAGCUAGUUGGUGGGGUAAAGGCCCACCAAGGCGACGAUGCAUAGCCGACCUGAGAGGGUGAUCGGCAACACUGGGACUGAGACACGGCCCAGACUCCUACGGGAGGCAGCAGUAGGGAAUCUUCCGCAAUGGGCGAAAGCCUGACGGAGCAACGCCGCGUGAGUGAAGAAGGAUUUCGGUUCGUAAAGCUCUGUUGUUAGGGAAGGAUGGAUAUGUAGUAACUAUACAUGUAAGAGACGGUACCUAACCAGAAAGCCACGGCUAACUACGUG
Molecule: ribosomal RNA, 499 nt
Filed under: uncultured bacterium
Lineage: Bacteria
Description: partial 16S ribosomal RNA
Rfam family: Bacterial small subunit ribosomal RNA
Source: RNAcentral